CUACAGCCAAUUAAGCCAAACAUGCUCUCCCAGAUGUGCAAUGACUGCAAACAAAAGUUUCCUCAGUAGUGUACACAAUUCGUUGCACAUGUGCAUCACGCUAAGAACAUGGAGACAGAC
RNAcentral lists this small nucleolar RNA (120 nucleotides) under Vulpes vulpes (red fox). Its description in RNAcentral is "Small nucleolar RNA SNORA70 (ENSVVUG00000003176.1)". It matches the Rfam family "Small nucleolar RNA SNORA70". From Rfam's summary of the family: snoRNA U70 seems to be exclusive to mammals and is a member of the H/ACA class of snoRNA which contain H (ANANNA) and ACA box motifs. H/ACA box snoRNAs are involved in the conversion of uridines to pseudouridines (5-ribosyluracil) a constituent of structural RNAs (transfer, ribosomal, small nuclear, and small nucleolar). The record is from Rfam by way of RNAcentral. Lineage: Eukaryota; Metazoa; Chordata; Mammalia; Carnivora; Canidae.